Molecule: ribosomal RNA, 1491 nt
Filed under: uncultured bacterium
Lineage: Bacteria
Description: bacterial SSU rRNA
Rfam family: Bacterial small subunit ribosomal RNA
Source: RNAcentral
GAGAGUUUGAUCCUGGCUCAGGAUGAACGCUAGCUACAGGCUUAACACAUGCAAGUCGAGGGGCAGCAUGGUCUUAGCUUGCUAAGGCCGAUGGCGACCGGCGCACGGGUGAGUAACACGUAUCCAACCUGCCGUCUACUCUUGGACAGCCUUCUGAAAGGAAGAUUAAUACAAGAUGGCAUCAUGAGUCCGCAUGUUCACAUGAUUAAAGGUAUUCCGGUAGACGAUGGGGAUGCGUUCCAUUAGAUAGUAGGCGGGGUAACGGCCCACCUAGUCUUCGAUGGAUAGGGGUUCUGAGAGGAAGGUCCCCCACAUUGGAACUGAGACACGGUCCAAACUCCUACGGGAGGCAGCAGUGAGGAAUAUUGGUCAAUGGGCGAGAGCCUGAACCAGCCAAGUAGCGUGAAGGAUGACUGCCCUAUGGGUUGUAAACUUCUUUUAUAAAGGAAUAAAGUCGGGUAUGGAUACCCGUUUGCAUGUACUUUAUGAAUAAGGAUCGGCUAACUCCGUGCCAGCAGCCGCGGUAAUACGGAGGAUCCGAGCGUUAUCCGGAUUUAUUGGGUUUAAAGGGAGCGUAGAUGGAUGUUUAAGUCAGUUGUGAAAGUUUGCGGCUCAACCGUAAAAUUGCAGUUGAUACUGGAUAUCUUGAGUGCAGUUGAGGCAGGCGGAAUUCGUGGUGUAGCGGUGAAAUGCUUAGAUAUCACGAAGAACUCCGAUUGCGAAGGCAGCCUGCUAAGCUGCAACUGACAUUGAGGCUCGAAAGUGUGGGUAUCAAACAGGAUUAGAUACCCUGGUAGUCCACACGGUAAACGAUGAAUACUCGCUGUUUGCGAUAUACUGCAAGCGGCCAAGCGAAAGCGUUAAGUAUUCCGCCUGGGGAGUACGCCGGCAACGGUGAAACUCAAAGGAAUUGACGGGGGCCCGCACAAGCGGAGGAACAUGUGGUUUAAUUCGAUGAUACGCGAGGAACCUUACCCGGGCUUAAAUUGCAGAUGAAUUACGGUGAAAGCCGUAAGCCGCAAGGCAUCUGUGAAGGUGCUGCAUGGUUGUCGUCAGCUCGUGCCGUGAGGUGUCGGCUUAAGUGCCAUAACGAGCGCAACCCUUGUUGUCAGUUACUAACAGGUUCUGCUGGGGACUCUGACAAGACUGCCAUCGUAAGAUGUGAGGAAGGUGGGGAUGACGUCAAAUCAGCACGGCCCUUACGUCCGGGGCUACACACGUGUUACAAUGGGGGGUACAGAGGGCCGCUACCACGCGAGUGGAUGCCAAUCCCAAAAACCUCUCUCAGUUCGGACUGGAGUCUGCAACCCGACUCCACGAAGCUGGAUUCGCUAGUAAUCGCGCAUCAGCCACGGCGCGGUGAAUACGUUCCCGGGCCUUGUACACACCGCCCGUCAAGCCAUGGGAGCCGGGGGUACCUGAAGUGCGUAACCGCGAGGAGCGCCCUAGGGUAAAACUGGUGACUGGGGCUAAGUCGUAACAAGGUAGCCG